Molecule: ribosomal RNA, 460 nt
Filed under: uncultured bacterium
Lineage: Bacteria
Description: partial 16S ribosomal RNA
Rfam family: Bacterial small subunit ribosomal RNA
Source: RNAcentral
CCUACGGGAGGCAGCAGUGAGGAAUAUUGGUCAAUGGCCGUAAGGCUGAACCAGCCAAGUCGCGUGAAGGAAGAAGGAUCUAUGGUUUGUAAACUUCUUUUAUAGGGGAAUAAAGGUAUCCACGUGUGGAUAUUUGCAUGUACCCUAUGAAUAAGCAUCGGCUAACUCCUUGCCAGCAGCCGCGGUAAUACGGAGGAUCCGAGCUGUAUCCGGAUUUAUUGGGUUUAAAGGGUGCGUAGGUUGUUUUUUAAUUCAGCGGGGAAAGGUUGCGGCUCAACCAUAAGAGUGCCGUUGAAACUGGAAGUGUUGAGUGGGGUUGAGGUAGGCGGAAUGCGUGGUGUAGCGGUGAAAUGCAUAGAUAUCACGCAGAACUCCGAUUGCGAAGGCAGCUUACUAGGCCAUAACUGACACUGAAGCACGAAAGCGUGGGGAUCGAACAGGAUUAGAUACCCGGGUAGUC